This 798-nucleotide ribosomal RNA is filed under the name Triticum aestivum (bread wheat). Its description in RNAcentral is "partial small subunit ribosomal RNA". The record is from RNAcentral. Lineage: Eukaryota; Viridiplantae; Streptophyta; Magnoliopsida; Poales; Poaceae.
AUGAAGUCUAAGAUGAAUAGGGGCAUACAGAAGGCAGGAAGAGUAGAUCAUCUCGAAGGAGGAGGACCAAACUGGAUUCUUGUUGCCGGAGGAGUUUUGCUAAGCACUCUCUCCGUCAAACUUGGAUGCAAAUUAAAGCAAAUGUUUGAUACGAAGCAGCAGAAUAGCUUUUCCAAAGCCGAAAGUAGGUUCGGAGGAUGUGAAUUGCACUCAAACGUAUGUAGGUUUCGUGGCCAAACUAGCUGCUACUAUUGUAUUUCAGGGCAUUCAGAUGGUGGAGUGGAAGUCAAGCAUCCACCUGCAAGUCCUUCAUCGAAAUCAGCUGAACCCUCACUUCCACUUGUGAAGAUACCAGUGCAAGAAUCAAGCAAGGACAACAGCGGCGUCAUGUGGAUAUCAUCACCUGACCGCCUUGAAGAUCCUCGCAAACCAUUUCAGUACUCAAACAGUUCUGGCUCUCCACGUGUUUCAGAGUCAGGAUCUGACAUUUAUAGCAAGAGAGAGGUCAUACAGAAGCUGAGGCAGCACCUGAAGAGCCGUGAUGAGAUGAUCAUGGAGAUUCAAGCUCAGAUUGCUGACCUUAAGAACUCUCUUGUCAUCCAGGAGACACAGUCGUCCAAUUUGCAGUCUCAGCUGGAGUCUGCUAACCGAGAUUUAUUUGAAUCUGAGCGGGAGAUCCAGCAUCUGAGGAAGAUCAUCACGGACCAUUGUGUUGGCGAAGCACUCUCUCACGAUAAGUUGUUGCAUGUUGGACACUGGCAGUCAGAUGCCACCAAUGGCCAUGCGCAGCGUCAAUGA